CUUCCCAUCGUCCUUUCAUGGGGUUCACGGAAAAAUAGCAUAUACCUUGACAGUGGGCAUUAAUAGACCGUGGCAUAUGUCCAAGGACUUUGUGACAGAGCUUAACUUUGUAAACCACAUUGACACCAACCAGCCAGGGUUGAAUGCGCCACUCUCAGGUUCAAACAGCGUGACACCGUGUAGCUUGUGAUGUAACUCUAGUCCCGUCACUAUGACAGUCAGUGUAGCGAAGAAAGCUUUCACCCCUGGUGAAACAGUGAAAAUAUUUUGUGAAUUUAAUAACCCUUCAUCUAAAACAGCUACUCCGAAGGUGAAGCUGCAACAGAAACAGACUUUCUACACCCACAGUAAGCACAACAGGAAGAUGGUUAUCAAAAAAUUUGGCGUAUGUGACAGGAGAACCUGUUGGUGCUCAGGCUACUUAUGUACGCACUGAGAUCAUGCUCGCUAUUCCCUCGUCUGCAUCUUUAACCAUCUCAGAUUGCAGCAUCCUGGUUGUUGAUUACAUUAUUGAGGUUAAACUCCACGUUGGAGCAUUGGAUGAGGUCGUUGUGCUGUUUCCAAUCAUCCUGUGUGAUACCCCUGUGCAAACUUAUCCCCCAGUAUGAUUCAACACAAGGUGUUUUUGGGGAUCCAUAUGGAGCCACUGCUCUUCCUACAUGUGUUACUGUUCAUAUGCCAUUCAUAUGUUGAUGACGUGCAGUUGUACAUGUUAAUUUCCUCUGAUGACCUCAAUGCAUCUUUCAUUUUAUCUUAACCCUUUUGUUUUUUACCUGUUUACCUUUUUACUUUAAAUGACUCUAACUUAGAUACUGUUUGUGCUAGAGACAAAUUGUGAACAGUUUACAGUUUCUUUUAGUCUGCUUCACAGUUUACUGAUAUCUGGUGUAUUGUUAAUGAUACACCAGAUAUCCCUGUAAAGUGGGAUAUCUGGUGUAUCGUUGAAGCACAAAGCAUUCACAAGCUACUGCUGUCUGAACACAGACAGAAAAAUCAGCUCUGCCUAGAUCUUAUCGUGUGCUGAUGAUGUUUGAUGAAUGGUUAAUGAAGAUGAUACAGCCUAUCACCAUUUUUAGUAGGCAUAAAUAAUAAUAGGCUGCUUAGCUGUAGGUUCAAGACCCCUGACAUGCAUCCAAAAUGGGGAAUUUAUAUCUUAUACAGAGUCUCAGGAAGUGGUUGAUGCAUUCAUCUCAGUUUGGAUAUUAAAAACCAGUACAGUGACUUUAUAUUAUUAUCAGAGCCCGAGUUUGCACAAACACAGAAAUCUGGACAUUUGAAUAUCUGGUGACUACAAUGGCAUCCAGUAGAUUGCAGUAAUACACUCAAAAUCCUUUUAAUAGUCAAUAGAGCGCCUUUAUGCUUGUCCUCUUAGUCCGGCGAUGACUUACUCAUUUAUUAAAUCCCACUAAGGCCUCUAAGGUCAUCAGGCAGAGGUCUUGUAACAACACUCAGAAUAAGAUCCAAAUCGGGUGCAGGUGGCUUCAGUAACUGUGGUCCUACUCGCUCUUACAGAACUUCAAAUAUAUUCCCACACCUGUGUCAGAAGACUGUGUAUAUUUGUAUGCUUUUAUGUGUGUGUAUGUGUGUUUACUGAUGCUUCUUGUACAGUUUAUUACAUGUGUGUUAUGUGUUUUGAGUGUUAUGUUUGAUGUACAUCAGGUUUAUGCUUUAUUAUCUCAAAUUCCACUUUUUUUUAAUCAUGCCUACAGCCGUCUGUUACCAAUUUUCACAUGUUAUUGUGAAUGUAUUUGUGUAAGAUGUGCUGUACUGCAAAGCUGCCAUGGUGCGCCUUGGCUAGACGUGAUGUCAUGAGUUACAGCGAAUAUCACUGCAUUCGGGUGAAGGUCAAUAAGUGUUGGCGUAAGUUUAAUAAAAUCCUUGACCUUUCCAUCUCGGAGAAAAUAUGUGAUGGCUGUCAGAAGUUUAAUAAAUCAUACUACGGAGUUUCUAACACUAAAUUUUCAUGGAGAGAGCCAGUAUAAACUGCAAGACUGGAGGAGAAUAGCCAGGUAAAGGAUGUUAAAACUGGAAAGUCUUAGAACUGGAAAUCUUUCUUUCUAUCUACAUGAUGUGAAUAGUCUGUGGCGAAGUUUUUCAUCAUAGUGACUGAAGAAAAAGGAGACUUGUGUAACAGUGUCUUAGUCCAGUUUUGGACAAAUUAUCAAAUUUAUAAAUGUACAUAUACACAAAAUAUUCUGGCAUGCUGCAUGUUAUAUUGUCAUCAUAUGCAUUUCGACUGUUUAUAAAAAUAAAAACAAUUAGUAGAAUACA
This is a long non-coding RNA of Oreochromis niloticus (Nile tilapia), 2271 nucleotides long. RefSeq lists it as uncharacterized. The record is from RefSeq and is a predicted model, not a curated record. Lineage: Eukaryota; Metazoa; Chordata; Actinopteri; Cichliformes; Cichlidae. The transcript is spliced from 5 exons.